Triticum aestivum (bread wheat) is the source of this 2102-nucleotide long non-coding RNA. RefSeq lists it as uncharacterized. Lineage: Eukaryota; Viridiplantae; Streptophyta; Magnoliopsida; Poales; Poaceae. The record is from RefSeq and is a predicted model, not a curated record. The transcript is spliced from 8 exons.
CCGUCAUGCCGUUCCUCCUUUCCUAACCCCUAACCCUAGAAAUCGAGGAGGAGUCUAUUCUAGGUCGCGUGCCGCCUCCGCCGCCGGCUAUCUCCUCCUCCGCGUCGACGCCGGGCAGGAUUGAGCGGGGGCCACGGAGAUGGCGAGGUUGUCGAGCUUUCCGCGGCAUGGACAUGGUUCCUUCGGACUUGGCAGGAGGGGUAAGGAGGUCCAUCCAUCCGUGGCGCCGGUCGCCGUCGAGCCUCCGUCAAGAGAUGCUCUCGCGCCAGUAGAGGAAUCCACGCCUGCUCCUGCUCGACUGCUUCCAAAUCGAGGGUCGAGGGGCGCGCCGAAUCCGGGCGCGAUGGUGAGCACAGAGGCGGCCAUGGCCGAGCUCGACGGUCUCGUUCUGCGAUGGCUCCUGCACGUGCCUGGGUUAUGAAGAGCCGCCGUUUGUACCGCUCGUCGAGGCUUCGACCAUCCUGCUCGUUGCUACUGCGUCGAGAGGUUGGAAGGCUUCUGCUGCUUAUGGGUUUGGCGUGGACUACUGUUGUUGGCUUGGUUUAAAAUAGUCACGAGCCGACGACCACAUCUCACCUUGCUCGACGUCCACCGCAGACGACCGGUAGCCGUUGACCUACCUACUGCCUACCCGUCCGCCGCAAGUGCAAGAAGGAGCAUGAGCAAAGCAAAGGUCAAAGUAAUUUUUGAUGUAUGAAGUUUGUGCCUCCAGGAUCUUGUGCUCCUACUAAUCUUUUAUUAACUUUGUUAAUUUUGUCAAAAGAAGGAGCAAAGCAAAGGCAGGAUUCCAUGGUGAGUUUGGAGUUUACCCUCUGUCCCUGGAAAUUGAAAUUGGCUCUCAUGCGAGCGUCGACCUUUUCUUAGCCAUGGAAUACAAAGGAAGCUACCCAAAUGUGAUAGGUCCUACUCUUCGGCGGCUUAAAUUUGAAGAUGUAGUGGCUGAACAAGAUUGGGAUCAUGUUUACGAUACAUUUUCCAUCGAUACAAAGGGCAGUGCUUACAAAAAGAGGAGGCAAGAUGAAGAGGAAGGUUGGAAGAAGGAGAGCAACCGUGCGUAGUUCUGACUGCCUCUUCCUCCUGUCGCUAAGUGUCAUAGUCAAGAGGACCAAGUGCGGGCAGGUGAGCAUCAGGAGUCCACCUGGUCGGCUUCAGCCUUUGAGGUGUUGUAGGCUAGCGAUGCCGAUUCCGAGCAUCUCCUCACCCCUCGCUCCUAUGGCCCCUUCAAUAGAAGUAGAUCUUUGAGCUGCUGGUGUUGAUGGUUUCUAUGAAAGCAAAUAAUAGGAAACAUUGCAUUUUCAUGUCCUAUCCAGAUGGUUAGUUCUCUGAUGACAUGCUUGAAGUAUGGUCUGUGCUCUCUUCCUCCAUCUCAUGUAUGUGAUUGAUGUCGCCCUCUAAUUGUUUGGUGUUGGAGUCUCUCUGUAUAAUCAUAGUGCCUCUUUGCUUAAUCUGCUGGCGUAUGCUAUCUACAGUUCCUUCCCGAGCUCCUAACGGAUCUUUAGAGUUACUAUUUAUUAGUAUUUUGUGCUACAACAUAAUUAGUGCCCGGCAAACCCUGUUUACCUUCUUAUCUCACUAUUGUCUGCUGUCAUCCUUUUAUGCAUUAUAACUCAGCUUGAUAUAUUCGCUGCAACAUAAUAUUCCCCUUGGGUUAUUGAAUUGUUUUGCUCUAUACAUCCCAAAGAAACACAGACUAUUUGCAUUACAUGGUUUUGCUACCUCUUAUGAAAUUGCAUUCGCUGUGUUAUGCGGAAAAUUUACUUCGGCCACUCUUAUGAGUGUAUAUUUUCAGUUUCAGGUUUUUCUUUGUAUUACUCCUAGGAAAACUCGCUGAAUUUUUCCAUGUGAGCCUGACACAUUGUUUAAUAACUGGUAUAGCUUCAUAACUGUUAUACCCUUAUGAUCUUUUCCUUUUCUUAUGUCAGCUAACCAGUGAGGAUAUAUAUAAAAAGGAUACUGUCGUGGUUCUAAGGCUGACAGUAGAAAGGGGGUAGGUAUGGAGAGGCAAGAUCUCAGCUAUGGUGAAGGUGUACACACGAGAUUUACGAGUUCAGGCCCUUCUCGAAGGAAGUAAUAGCCCUACGUCUCGGCGCCCGAAGGCGGUC